AGUGGCCACACUGUUUUGCAUUCCCACCAGCACUGUAUAAGGGGUUCCCUUGUCUCCACAUUCUGGCCAACACUUGCUCUCUCUUGUUUUUUGGACAAUAGCCCUCCUAACAGAUUAAAUAAACUUCUUGGAGCCAAAAAUCAUCACUUUGUAUUCCAUAGAUUACCCGGAGUAUUGCUAAAGUCCUAAAGCAAGAAUCACAAACUCAGGUGGCUACAGGAGUUUAUUAGAGUUGCUCUGUGCGAUAGAACUUUCUGUG
Equus quagga is the source of this 259-nucleotide long non-coding RNA. RefSeq lists it as uncharacterized. NCBI's taxonomy places the organism in Eukaryota, Metazoa, Chordata, Mammalia, Perissodactyla, Equidae. The record is from RefSeq and is a predicted model, not a curated record. The transcript is spliced from 3 exons.